This 460-nucleotide ribosomal RNA is filed under the name uncultured bacterium. RNAcentral's name for it is "partial 16S ribosomal RNA". It matches the Rfam family "Bacterial small subunit ribosomal RNA", at positions 338 to 795 of the family's 1533-position model. The record is from RNAcentral.
CCUACGGGUGGCAGCAGUGAGGAAUAUUGGUCAAUGGCCGUAAGGCUGAACCAGCCAAGUCGCGUGAAGGAAGAAGGAUCUAUGGUUUGUAAACUUCUUUUAUAGGGGAAUAAAGGUAUCCACGUGUGGAUAUUUGCAUGUACCCUAUGAAUAAGCAUCGGCUAACUCCGUGCCAGCAGCCGCGGUAAUACGGAGGAUGCGAGCGUUUUCCGGAUUUAUUGGGUUUAAAGGGUGCGUAGGUUGGUUUUUAAGUCAGCGGUGAAAGUUUGUGGCUCAACCAUGAAAUUGCCGUUGAAACUGGGAGACUUGAGUGUGUUAGAGGUAGGCGGAAUGCGUGGUGUAGCGGUGAAAUGCGUAGAUAUUACGCGGAACUCCGGUGGCGAAGGCAGCUUUCUGGUCCAUAACUGACGCUGAGGCGCGAAAGCGUGGGGAUCAAACAGGAUUAGAUACCCGAGUAGUC